This 253-nucleotide ribosomal RNA is filed under the name uncultured bacterium. RNAcentral's name for it is "partial 16S ribosomal RNA". It matches the Rfam family "Bacterial small subunit ribosomal RNA", at positions 524 to 776 of the family's 1533-position model. The record is from RNAcentral.
UACGAAGGGGGCUAGCGUUGCUCGGAAUUACUGGGCGUAAAGGGCGCGUAGGCGGCACGAUUAGUCAGGCGUGAAAUUCCUGGGCUCAACCUGGGGACUGCGCUUGAUACGGUCGAGCUAGAGGAUGGAAGAGGGUCGCGGAAUUCCCAGUGUAGAGGUGAAAUUCGUAGAUAUUGGGAAGAACACCGGUGGCGAAGGCGGCGACCCGGUCCAUUACUGACGCUGAGGCGCGACAGCGUGGGGAGCAAACAGG